AAAGUCGUAACAAGGGUCUCCGUUGGUGAACCAGCGGAGGGAUCAUUACUGAGUACUACACUCUCUACCCUUUGUGAACUAUUAUACCUGUUGCUUCGCGGCGCCGCAAGGUGCCCGCCGGUCUCAUCAGAAUCUCUGUUUUCGAACCCGACGAUACUUCUGAGUGUUCUUAGCGAACUGUCAAGAACUUUUAACAACGGAUCUCUUGGCUCCAGCAUCGAUGAAGAACGCCAGCGAAACGCGAUAUGUAAUGUGAAUUGCAGAAUUCAGUGAAUCAUCGAAUCUUUGAACGCACAUGGCGCCUUCCAGUAUCCUGGAGGCAUGCCUGUCCGAGCGUCGUUUCAACCCUCGAGCCCUGUGGCCCGGCGUUGGGGAUCCUGCCACGGCAGGCCCCUAAAACCAGUGGCGGACCCGAAGGGCCUCUCUCUUUGCGCAGCUCGCAUUCGCCUCGCAUCGGGAGUCCUCGGCGUCCUGCCUCUAACACCCCCACAAGCCCGCUCGGCGGCACCAAGGUUGACCUCGGAUCAGGUAGGAAUACCCCUGAACUUAAGCAUACUCAA
Molecule: ribosomal RNA, 560 nt
Filed under: uncultured fungus
Lineage: Eukaryota; Fungi
Description: eukaryotic LSU rRNA
Rfam family: 5.8S ribosomal RNA (bases 186-339)
Source: RNAcentral